CUGACCUCGGAUCAGGCAGGGAUACCCGCUGAACUUAAGCAUAUCAAUAAGCGGAGGAAAAGAAACCAACAGGGAUUGUCCUCAGUAACGGCGAGUGAAGCGGCAACAGCUCAAAU
Molecule: ribosomal RNA, 116 nt
Filed under: Anzia gregoriana
Lineage: Eukaryota; Fungi; Ascomycota; Lecanoromycetes; Lecanorales; Parmeliaceae
Description: partial 28S ribosomal RNA
Rfam family: Eukaryotic large subunit ribosomal RNA
Source: RNAcentral